GACGUCGUGCCAGAGUGGUUAAUGGGUAUGACUCGAACGAGAUCCAUCUAUUAGAUAUCAUAUGUCUUCGGACGCGCAGGUUCGAAUCCUGCCGGCGUCG
Molecule: transfer RNA, 100 nt
Filed under: Plenodomus tracheiphilus IPT5
Lineage: Eukaryota; Fungi; Ascomycota; Dothideomycetes; Pleosporales; Leptosphaeriaceae
Rfam family: tRNA
About the family: Transfer RNA (tRNA) molecules are approximately 80 nucleotides in length.
Source: Rfam by way of RNAcentral